Molecule: long non-coding RNA, 547 nt
Organism: Oreochromis aureus
Lineage: Eukaryota; Metazoa; Chordata; Actinopteri; Cichliformes; Cichlidae
Exons: 4
Source: RefSeq, a predicted model, not a curated record
CCAUGAUGUCCCUGUAUCGCAUUAUAUAGGUGCAAUAAACCAUCUUAUCUCGUCUUAGCAAGGCUGUUUGCUGUGGAUGAAGGCCAACCGUAAUAUCUUUCAUUUAUAGCUUCUCGCAACAUGUGCAAGGCCAACCUAUCAGAUAAAACAUGAAUUUCUACAACCAGUCCAACACCCAGGUGAUAGUCACCACCACUGCCAUGAGUCAAAAGGCUGGGGAAUGGAGUACCGACAUCUGUGGCUGCUGCUCUGAUAUGAACACCUGUUGCUUCGGAUGUUGGUGUUUCCCCUGCAUGCAAUGUCAGACAGCCAGUAAACAUGGAUGGUGCUGCGGCAUGCCACUGCUGGACUGUUGCUGUGUGGUGUCCUGCUUACUGCGCAAUUCUGUCAGAGAGCGCUACAACAUCCCUGGCUCUUGCUGUGAUGACUGCUGCAAAAUAUUCUGGUGUUAUCAUUGUGUCUGGUGCCAGAUGAAUCGUGAGCUGAAGAUCAGGGAAAACCAGCAGCCUGCCAAUACGACAGUGGUCACCACGCAGGUCUUCAGUAG